ACCUGCGGCNCGCAUAUGCAUGCAAGUCGAGCGAUGAGUCUCUUCGGAGGCAUCAGCGGCAGACGGGUGAGUAACACGUGGAUGACCUGCCCUCAAGACUGGGAUAACGGGUGGAAACAUGCGCUAAUACCGGAUAGGCUUCUGGGGUCGCAGCCAGAAGUAAAGCUACGGUGCUUGAGGAGGGGUCCGCGGCCCAUCAGCUAGUUGGUAGGGUAACGGCCUACCAAGGCGAAGACGGGUAGGGGGUGUGAGAGCAUGGCCCCCCACAAUGGGACUGAGAGACGGCCCAUACUCCUACGGGAGGCAGCAGCGGGGAAUAUUGCACAAUGGACGGAAGUCUGAUGCAGCGACGCCGCGUGGAUGAAGAAGGCCUUCGGGUUGUAAAAUCCUUUUCGGGGGGAAGAGAGAGGACGGUACCCUCGGAAUAAGCGUCGGCUAACUACGUGCCAGCAGCCGCGGUAAUACGUAGGACGCGAGCGUUAUCCGGAUUUACUGGGCGUAAAGCGUCUGUAGGCGGUGGCGUAAGUUGGGCGUGAAAGCUCCGGGCUUAACCCGGAGAGGCCGCACAAUACUGCGCGACUAGAGGGCGUGAGAGGGGAGCGGAAUUUCCGGUGUAGCGGUAAAAUGCGCAGAUAUCGGGAGGAACACCAGUGGCGCAGGCNGCUCCCUGGUGCGCACCUGACGCUGAGAGACNAAAGCUAGGGGAGCAAACAGGAUUAGAGACCCUGGUAUCCUAGCCCUNAACGAUGGNAUGCUAGGUGUGGGGCCGAUAGGCUCUGUGCCGCANCUAACGCGCUNAGCAUCCCCCUGGG
This 812-nucleotide ribosomal RNA is filed under the name uncultured bacterium. Its description in RNAcentral is "bacterial SSU rRNA". It matches the Rfam family "Bacterial small subunit ribosomal RNA", at positions 35 to 877 of the family's 1533-position model. The record is from RNAcentral.